AUGUUGCCAUCUAGUGCAGUGCAAGGAUCAACCGAGCAAUCGGUAUAAAACGCCCGCCUCGCGCCGAGUCUUGUGGAGGUCGCAUUUAGUUAGCAGAACUGACAUCAGAAAGUGGAACAAGCAAAGUUGCAAAUGGUGAAAUCACCAUUGAAUUGGAACCAAUAAUUCGAUUCGGCUGUAAUAGGUAUCCUAAUUGAAAAUUGCACAUUUUUCUUCCAGAUCUGCAAGGUUGCAACUGAUCAGACCUCCUCAGCUCCAAGCAUGGGUGUGAAGGUCCUCAAGUGCUUCUCCUGGUACAGACGCUGUAAGGAACGAUGCAAGGCUAAACAGUGCCCCCCACCUGCAGUCCCCAGAGAGGAGAUGAAGCCUCGCCUGUCGUCUACGGUGUCGUGCGGUAGCCAGGGCGAGGGCGGUAGCAGCCUGAGUGGAUCCCAGAUCUACUUCUCCACCAAGGCUCGCCUCUCCUUUAGACACCAGAUGGACAGCAACUUCAACGCAGUGGACGCAACCUGCUGAGCAAGAGCAGCCUCGACAAGCCUGGGUAGUGUUCAUUAGGCAUCAAACGGAAGAAUAUAGACUGAAUCCGGGAGGGACUGCCUGGGCUUGUCCAAUCAUCAUCAUCACCACCCCGAAAAAUGAACUCUCACCCCUCCACUAUGACAGCCAUUAUUCUAGCUCAACAGAACGGGGAAUGGGGCAGAAGUUGAACGCGAAGGACUCAGACUUCACCUACUCAGUGGUGCAUAAAUACAUCGUUCUCAACUCUCCCUUCAGAGAUGACUGUGAAAGGAGGAAUAUAAUCACAGCAGAUUGAGUUCUUCACGACAGAGAAAGACUAAAUGCACUGCUAAUGUAGCUAGUGGAGGUGGAGACAUGUAAUGGAGAAAUGUUUACAACGUUAUCACACUAAGUGCAUUAUUUUCCUUUUGUGUUUCUGACCACCCUUUUAUUUCUACGUUCCUUUUUUCCAGUGUGUGUGUUGGGGUGUAAAUGACUGUGUUGGUUUGGUCUAGGGCCAGGUAGAAGACCACAAACUGCAAACAGUCGUGUCUUUAAAAUACUAGCUGGUGAAUAUGAUUUGUAUUUGUAUGUGUUAGGGAUCCCCAUUAGCUGCUACCAAGGCAGCAGCUACUCUUCCUGGAGUCCAAACACAUUAAGGCACUUAAAUCACACAUAAAAUAUAAAACAGUACAUCAUAUAACAUUAUUACACCAAUACAUACCUACAAUGCUAAAUGUAUAAUACCACCAUACAACAAUAUUACAAUGUACGUGUGUGGAGUACGUGCGUAAGAAUGUCAGCACUCCCAACUUUAAAUACAGGCUUUUUACAUAAAAAUAUCCUGACAGUGUCCUCACUUGCUGAGAAAAACAUGGUAACUAGAUUUGAUCAGAUUAGCUGAUAAAAGACAGUAAUGAGUUUCAGAGUUUGUGCCUUGUAGAAAAAAAAAAAAAAAACUUAAUUUAAACAUUUCCAAAGCUCUGACGAAGGCCUCGAGGCCGAUACGUAAAGUUGAAUAAAGAGCAGUGUGCGGGUUUCUUCUUUUCCCCCCUCACUUUAUUCAGCGGUUACCAUGCACCUGCAACAAAGAUAGCUCAGAUGUGCGAGAGUGCCUUCUGAAACCUUUCCAAGGUGAAAUGAAUGUUGGUGCCAGCGAUCUUCUAGUAGUGCCCUGCCUACCUGACUGAGUCUACACUUCAUUUGGCAGCAUUGCCCUCUCCAUCUUACAUGCAGCUUUUACCUUGACUGACUUCUCAUGUUCUGGGGAACAUCAAUGAAGUGACCAGAAAGUCAACAGAUGCUUCACAUACUAGUUUCAGGACAUGUCAAUGACACAUUACUUCUAAUUGUGUUGUGUUUGUAGAAAUCUAAGUUGAGAAAUAGUUGUAUGAGUGAUGAGGUAAUAGCAUCUCACUGACACCACUUCUGGGGGUUUGGUGAGAAGAAUGUACAGGGCUUUAAAGUAUUCACACUCCUGGACUUUUUCCACGUGUUGUUGUUACGGCCUGAAUUUAAAAUUAAAUGUAGAUUUGGGGGUCACUGGUCUACACACACUACCCCAUAAUGUCAAAGUGGAUUUAUGAAUUAAAAAUUAAAAGCUGAACUGUCCUGCGUUAAGUCUUCAAAGCAUUUGAAAUAACUUCAGGAAUACAAACAAGUCAGACAUCCUGUGUGCAAUAAAUGUAACUUUUUUUUUAUGACUACCUCAUCACUGUACCCCACACAUACAAUUAUCUGUAAGGUCCCUCAGUCGAGGAGUGAAUUUCAACCACAAAGACACGGGAGGUUUUCCAAUACCUCACGAAGGGCACCAAUUGGUUAGUGGCGAAAAAUAAUAGUUUGAAUAUCCUUUUGAGCAUGGGAAGUUAUUAAUAACACUUUGGAUGGUGUAUCAAUACACCCGGUCACCAACUCAGUUGACGGAGAGGAAGGAAACCGCUCAGGGAUUUCACCAUGAGGGCAAUGGUGAUUUUAAACCAGUUGGAGUUAAAUGGCUGUGAUAGAAAACUGAGGAUGGAUCAACAUAGUACUUACUCCACAAUACAUUUAAGUCACGCCGUACACUUUCAGGGCGAUUUAAGUCAAAACUGUAACUAGGCCACUCGGGAACAUUCAAUGUCGUCUUGGUAAGUAUCGCCAGCGUAUAUUUAGCCUUGCGUUUUAGGUUUAUUGUCCUGCUGAAAGGUGGAUUUGUCUCCCAGUAUCUGUUGGAAAGCAGACUGAAAUCAGGAAAACCUUACAAAUAGUAUAGGAUCCAGGUUUCAAAGCUCUUGGACAUUUACCAAGAAAAAGACUCACAGCUGUGAUCACUGCCAAAGGUGAGUCAAACAUGUAUUGACUUAGGGGGUUAAUAUACUUAUCUAAAAUCGGAAUAUUUUAUUUUCCAUUAAUAAAAAACAUUGUUUAAAUGUUCUUUCACUUUGACAGAGUAUUUUGCAUACGGUUGACAAAAAUGACAAUUUAAUUCAUUGUAAUCCCACUUUGUAACAACAAAAUGUGGAGAAAGUCAAGGGGUGAGAAUACCUUGUGAAAGCACUAUAUGCAAUAAUCCCCAAUAAUGGUGACAAAAACAUUGAUGAUUUGCCCAAUGUUCAACCAUUUGAAUGGAAAUCAAAGAUCCCAACGUUUUACUCUAUUCUUGUUGUAAUGGGAAUGGCUGAAAUGUACUACUAACAAAUGUAAUACAAAAAAUCAUUUGCAUACUAAAAUGUUUUGGUGGAUUAAUUUAGCUUGAUAUUGUGAAAUGUGCAAAUAUCUAAUGAAGAUAUUUUUCUUUCAACCUUAUUCAUGACAAAAUAUUGUAAUUGGUACAAAAAGAUGAAUAAACUGAAGACAGUC
This is a long non-coding RNA of Oncorhynchus gorbuscha (pink salmon), 3339 nucleotides long. RefSeq lists it as uncharacterized. NCBI's taxonomy places the organism in Eukaryota, Metazoa, Chordata, Actinopteri, Salmoniformes, Salmonidae. The record is from RefSeq and is a predicted model, not a curated record. The transcript is spliced from 3 exons.